Molecule: transfer RNA, 70 nt
Filed under: Loxodonta africana (African savanna elephant)
Lineage: Eukaryota; Metazoa; Chordata; Mammalia; Proboscidea; Elephantidae
Rfam family: tRNA
About the family: Transfer RNA (tRNA) molecules are approximately 80 nucleotides in length. Their secondary structure includes four short double-helical elements and three loops (D, anti-codon, and T loops). Further hydrogen bonds mediate the characteristic L-shaped molecular structure. tRNAs have two regions of fundamental functional importance: the anti-codon, which is responsible for specific mRNA codon recognition, and the 3' end, to which the tRNAs corresponding amino acid is attached (by aminoacyl-tRNA synthetases). tRNAs cope with the degeneracy of the genetic code in two manners: having more than one tRNA (with a specific anti-codon) for a particular amino acid; and 'wobble' base-pairing, i.e. permitting non-standard base-pairing at the 3rd anti-codon position.
Source: Rfam by way of RNAcentral
GUUUUGGUGGUUCAGUGGUAGAAUUCUCACUUUUCAUGCGAGAGAACUAGGUUUAUUCCCAGCCAGUGCA